Molecule: long non-coding RNA, 1378 nt
Organism: Pongo pygmaeus (Bornean orangutan)
Lineage: Eukaryota; Metazoa; Chordata; Mammalia; Primates; Hominidae
Exons: 2
Source: RefSeq, a predicted model, not a curated record
CAAGUCCUCUUCUGAACCCUCAUUGCCAAAUAUCUGCAUGUUGUUAUGGAGCUGUCUCAGCAUGGGGUCUUUGAUGCCUGUAUCCUCACACCCUUAGAAGAUCCUGAGAAAGGAAGAUGGCAUGUGAGAAACUUCAAUGUCUUCCUGCCACGAGCAAUGUCUUCCUGCAAUCAGCCUCCAACUCUACACAUCCAAAGGUGCCACAGCCAUUUUGCAACCAUAAGGGAACAAGCAUGAAGACAGAGGCCUCCAUGCUAAGGACAUCAAAGCAGAAAUACAGAAAGAGCCUGGACCCAGAAAACAUCCAUGAAUAGCUGCAUUGGCCAUGGAUGGCCCGACGUUGGACUUAUUAUAUCAGAAAAAUAACCCCCUAAGUAAUUCUGAUAGAUUUUUUCAUUCUUGGAGCCAAACACGUUUCAAAUUGAUGCACUUCAUUUUAUGAAUGAGGAAACUAAAGCUCAGUGAGUUUGGGUAAUUUCUCCAAAGUCCUGUGGCCAGUAGAUGCUAGAAACAGGAUUUGUACCCACAUCUGCCCAGCACCAACACACAUGCUCUUACUCACAAGAGCACUGCAGUGCCCUCCCAUCACUGUAUCUGCAUCAGUUCACCACAUCUCAUCCUUCCCAAACCAUGUGUCACAGAACUCAGAUAUUAUUCAUAGAUAUGCCUCAGCAGAAAGGUUUCGGUGGUAAGUUAAGUUCUAAGAACACAGAGUUUUGUAUUCCCUUUUUGUAGAGAACCACAAAGCAUAUCAAAACAUCAGUUUCCAAAAAAAACAAAAAACCUAUUAUUAAGAAACCUGCUUGACUUUGAUUAAUUCAGUGGUUCCCAAACUUAUUUGAGUAUGGAACACAUUUUUUUAAAUGACUUUCCUAUAAAUACCUUCCAGAACAUUGUUCCCUUGAACACCAAUUUGGGAGAUCACUCACUGAAUUUUAAGCAUUAUUUCCUCAGCUUUGGUUUAAAGUAAAAGGAAAGUGAGUCACAAUUUUGUCCAUUCUGCACCUCCCGGUCCCCUAUGAAGUCCCAAAGGAUAAAUUUCUUUGAGAAUCUGGUGCCCAGAGCAAAAUAUGUACCUCCUGAGGAAGUUAUUUGCUUCCUUUUUAAAAAUAAAAGUAUGUGACUUACAGAGCUUCUCCUUUUGUUUUGGCUUUCUGGAGGCUGAGACAAAUGGGAAGCAAUUAUCAGCUCAGGUUCCUGGGUUUUACGGAUUUGUUGUUUUUUUUUCAAUCUGAUCUUGAUUUUUCCUCUUGAUCUUCCUUGUCUUAAUUCUGUAUUUAUGUUUUAUUUGGCAUUAUUGUAUAUGUUCUUGUGAAUGACAUUAUGUUUGUGGAAUAGAGUGGAGUACAAAUUCGUUAAAUAAAAAUCAAGACUGACC